UACGGAGGGGGCGAGCGUUGUUCGGAUUUACUGGGCGUAAAGGGCGCGCAGGCGGCUUAUUUUGUCAGGCGUGAAAGCCCCGGGCUUAACCUGGGAACUGCGUUUGAUACGGAUGGGCUAGAGUUCGGGAGAGGAGCGUGGAAUUCCCAGUGUAGAGGUGAAAUUCGUAGAUAUUGGGAAGAACACCGGUGGCGAAGGCGGCGCUCUGGACCGAGACUGACGCUGAGGCGCGAAAGCGUGGGGAGCAAACAGG
This 253-nucleotide ribosomal RNA is filed under the name uncultured bacterium. Its description in RNAcentral is "partial 16S ribosomal RNA". It matches the Rfam family "Bacterial small subunit ribosomal RNA", at positions 524 to 776 of the family's 1533-position model. The record is from RNAcentral.